This 535-nucleotide ribosomal RNA is filed under the name uncultured Acidobacteriota bacterium. RNAcentral describes it as "bacterial SSU rRNA". It matches the Rfam family "Bacterial small subunit ribosomal RNA", at positions 8 to 522 of the family's 1533-position model. Lineage: Bacteria; Pseudomonadati; Acidobacteriota. The record is from RNAcentral.
AGAGUUUGAUCCUGGCUCAGAAUCAACGCUGGCGGCGUGCCUAACACAUGCAAGUCGAACGCGAAAGCCCCGCAAGGGGCCAGUAGAGUGGCAAACGGGUGAGUAACACGUGGGUGACCUGCCUUCGAGCGGGGGAUAACGUCCCGAAAGGGACGCUAAUACCGCAUGACAUCCUGCCUUUGAAGAGGUGGAGAUCAAAGCUGGGGAUCGCAAGACCUAGCACUCGAUGAGGGGCCCGCGCCUGAUUAGCUAGUUGGUGGGGUAAUGGCUCACCAAGGCAACGAUCAGUAUCCGGCCUGAGAGGGCGGACGGACACACUGGGACUGAGACACGGCCCAGACUCCUACGGGAGGCAGCAGUGGGGAAUUGUUCGCAAUGGGCGCAAGCCUGACGACGCAACGCCGCGUGGAGGAUGAAGACCUUCGGGUCGUAAACUCCUUUCGAUCGAGACGAAUGGCCUUCGGGUGAACAAUCCGGAGGAGUGACGGUACCGAGAGAAGAAGCCCCGGCUAACUCCGUGCCAGCAGCCGCGGUA